AUAUUGGACUCCAACUUCAAUCUUCUGCAUCAAAUGUCGGCAUGUGUACUGUUUGUUAAAUUGCUUCUUUUUGUUUGUUCUUUUCUUGAGGUCCUGUUUACAUCAGGGAAAGAUCUGCAGAUUACAGCAGGAGUCAACCACAGCUUUCCCAAAAGCUCUCAUCUGACUCCAGUCCAACUUGAUGGCAUCCAUUUUCAGAAAGCAGAUGCUGCCCUCUUUUACACUGGUGCAAUUCUGGAAUAACUCCACUGACGUCAGUGAAGUGACUCCAAAUUUAUCCCCGGCAAAAAAGCAGAAUUGGACCACAGUCUCUUUGUCUGCCUCUCUGCUCUGGAGCUCCAGGGGACAUGUGCCACUGCCACGCCAUAAGCAGUGUAGUGGUAGGCAUUGGUAGCUCCAGUGUCAGCUCCAAUACUUCCUUGAAUUCAGUUGUGUGAUACUCAGAUGCUCCAGAAGAGAUGGAAUGACAGCCCAAACCUCAUGGAUACUCCAGCUUGUAUUCCCAGUGACAGAAGGGAUGUUCCAGUGCUUUGGCUACGGCUGAGCCAAGCCAGUUGUUCUUUUCUGCAGCUACAACACUUGCCCAGGCUGGAAUUCUGGAUGCUGCAAGGCUGUCAUGUCAGGACGCUGCAGAAGAGGUUGUUGCAUCUUCUUUCUGUAAAGCUGUGGAGUUUCUCUCUGUGCAGGGGGUACAACCUUUAUGGUCAGGAAACUGUUUUCCUUGCUCUGUGGUUUUCUUCUUGCUGUUGCUUUUAAAGGAGCCAACACUCUUAGUUCCAGGAAACUGAAACUAAAUGUGAACAGGGACUGGAGGAAGGAAGCAGAGGGAAUCCCCUACAAGAUUCCAAAGAGUCAUACUUCUGGGAAAACUAAAUAAAGCAAGAUUCAACUGCCAGUGGCUAAACAGCUGCAAUUUAUGAGCUGUUCCUGAAAAGCCCCAGACAAGCACUGUGGGAAGCUGGAGAUUGACACAGGACACCUCCAGAAGAGUCUGCUGUUGAAACUUCCUUUAAGCCUUUUUUUAGAGUGGAGCAUCCAGACCUGGCAAAUGCAGAAGGUCAACCCUUAAAAGAGCAAAGAGUUCUCUCCAAGAAAAUCAAACAAGUGGCCGAAGUCUGUCCAUUUGUCUGCCUGUCUUUUUGGCUUUGGAUUACUGUGCUUUUCAAAGCUGUGCUUUCAUAACUCGGAUGAAAAAGUAGAUGUUUCGUGUGGCUCUACAAGUCGUAAUCAUCCUGUUCAUGCAAAAUAUCUGCUACCUGAGGGAUGGGCCCAAACCAGAGGUGUUUCUCAUUUACCUACAAAGCAUCUGGCUUCAGCAUCUGUACAGUCAGUUUUUGUGAACAUGUGAGUCCAUUGCCUGCUGUAACGGAGUUAGUGACUUAUUUUCAGUGGUCGUAGAGAGUUUCACUGAAAUAGCACUGUCUGUAGUCCAUUGUGUGACUUAGGAGACACAAUAACCAGACAAUUCUGCAAUUGUAAUAUAAUUGUUCCCAGAAAAUGCUCUGAAGUCUUCUCCCGUUGCACCAUUGUGAUAAAAACCUCUGCUGCUUUUCAAGCUCUACAAGUCCAUCUGUGCCGUGCUGAAAGUGAAAGAAAACCCAAUUAGCUCUGAAAAAGCAAAGGGCAGGGAGAGAUGCUCUGGCCCGGAAUUCCCUCCCUUUGGCAGCAGCCAAGGUCAGCCAAAUUUCCGUGACCACACGUGGAUCCAGCCUGUGUGUGUUGCCAGCUCUCUGCACAGGAGAGUGGGAAGGGGGGUAAGAAGAAUUGAUUCUGGAAGGGGAGAGCCUGAGAGGAAGAGUGGAGUUAAAUGUGGCAGCUGGGAUUUUCAGAAGGUAGUUUGGGCAUCCAGCUUCCUGAGAACUCUUUAUCAGUAACACCCUCUAUGUCCUCCUGAGUGACUUUUAGCCUGUCUGGCAGUUUUCAGCGUCAGUGUGUGUGUGAGGGAAAAGAGGUGGGAGGCAGCUCUCUCUGAUUUGGCAGCUGUGGGACUGCAGACUCCUUGUGGCUGCUGGCUGAGGGUGUGGAUCCCUGGGGAGCUUCCUGAUCCCCUGGGACUCCUACAGGCCUGUAGGACUGGGCUUAGAGAAACCCUGAGCUGCCAGACGGAGGCUGCUUCUGGUGCAGCUCUUCUGAGUAGUCCUGGCCGUGGAUGUGAGCCUGCAGUCCUUGGGAGGCAAAACACACUCCACAAUCCCAAGGGAUCUGCUCUGUCUCUCAGUGCAGGCCAGCUGGGGGAAUCCCUUUCUCCUGAUCUGUGUGUGAAGGCCACAUGGCUGACCAUGAAUGACCAGAGCUGCCAUGGACCCUUCUUGCAAGGGCCGUCAUCUUCAGAGUCAGCAUAGGUGCUGGCUAGCUUUGGAAAAGUGUGAAUAUCCUGGGGAAAUCUGUGGAGCAGAAACCUUGGGCCAUUCUGUGUGCUCACACCAUCAGCAGGGCUGAUACUGACAGGGGUGCUUUGCUUUUGGUGUGAAACCUUGCUCUGAUGCAUCAUUCCAAGGAAAACAGCUGGAAUUUUGCAGGCCAGAUCAUGUGGUGAGAUAAGUAAUUCCAGCUCCCUCAGUGGAGUUGAUUUAUACAGGACAGGUCCAACAUUUCUGAGAAAUUGUUGAUGGUGGGGACUUUUGUUGUUUGUUUGUUUCACUGAAAACUUGAAGCCUUUCAAAUAAAGAACGUGAGGUACAGGGAAUUUCUAGCUGGCGUAUGUGCUUCAGGAUGUUUGCUGCCUUCAGGCUUUGAGAACACAAAUUCUCUGCAGACAGUCUCACACACAGUGGGAGAUGAGGUUAUUGGGCUUGGAAAUGCACCAGGGGGGUGGGACUCGAGUGAGCUUUGAAGAGCAAUCAUUGUCAUUAGUGGUGGUGCCAUAAUAUGUGCUUGACUCAAAUCCAGCGUUGCACAGGUGAGAACCUGAUGAAACCUUGUAACUCGAUAUUUGUGGUUGUUCCUGCCAGUGUGAUCCACUGUUGAAUAGGCUAGA
Long non-coding RNA from Cyanoderma ruficeps (rufous-capped babbler), 2977 nucleotides. The record is from Ensembl. NCBI's taxonomy places the organism in Eukaryota, Metazoa, Chordata, Aves, Passeriformes, Timaliidae.